UACGUAGGUGGCAAGCGUUGUCCGGAUUUACUGGGUGUAAAGGGCGUGUAGCCGGGUUGACAAGUCGGAUGUGAAAUCCUGCGGCUUAACCGCAGAACUGCAUUUGAAACUGUUGAUCUUGAGUACUGGAGAGGCAGACGGAAUUCCUAGUGUAGCGGUGAAAUGCGUAGAUAUUAGGAGGAACACCAGUGGCGAAGGCGGUCUGCUGGACAGCAACUGACGGUGAGGCGCGAAAGCGUGGGGAGCAAACAGG
This 253-nucleotide ribosomal RNA is filed under the name uncultured bacterium. Its description in RNAcentral is "partial 16S ribosomal RNA". It matches the Rfam family "Bacterial small subunit ribosomal RNA", at positions 524 to 776 of the family's 1533-position model. The record is from RNAcentral.